This 301-nucleotide ribosomal RNA is filed under the name uncultured bacterium. RNAcentral's name for it is "partial 16S ribosomal RNA". It matches the Rfam family "Bacterial small subunit ribosomal RNA", at positions 509 to 807 of the family's 1533-position model. The record is from RNAcentral.
CAGCCGCCGCGGGAAUACGGAGGGGGCUAGCGUUGUUCGGAAUUACUGGGCGUAAAGCGCACGUAGGCGGCUUGGUAAGUUAGAGGUGAAAGCCCGGAGCUCAACUCCGGAAUUGCCUUUAAGACUGCCGAGCUAGUAGGUGAGAGAGGUAAGUGGAAUUCCGAGUGUAGAGGUGAAAUUCGUAGAUAUUCGGAAGAACACCAGUGGCGAAGGCGGCUUACUGGCUCAUUCUAGACGCUGAGGUGCGAAAGCGUGGGGAGCAAACAGGAUUAGAUACCCCCGUAGUCCCUGUCUCUUAUAC